AUUGAACGCUGGCGGCAUGCCUAACACAUACAAGUCGAACGGCAGCACAGCCCGCAAGGGUGGGUGGCGAGUGGCGGACGGGUGAGGAAUACAUGGGACUCUACCCUGUCGUGGGGGAUAACGUAGGGAAACUUACGCUAAUACCGCAUACGACCUCCGGGUGAAAGCGGCGGACCGCAAGGCGUCGCGCGACUGGAUGCGCGCAUGCCGGAUUAGCUAGUUGGCGGGGUAAAGGCCCACCAAGGCGACGAUCCGUAGCUGGUCUGAGAGGAUGAUAAGCCACACUGGAACUGAGACACGGUCCAGACUCCUACGGGAGGCAGCAGUGGGGAAUAUUGGACAAUGGGCGCAAGCCUGAUCCAGCAAUGCCGCGUGGGUGAAGAAGGCCUUCGGGUUGUAAAGCCCUUUUGUACGGGAAGAAAUCCUGUCGGUUAAUACCUGGCGGGGAUGACGGUACCGUAAGAAUAAGCACCGGCUAACUUCGUGCCAGCCGCCGCCGUAA
This 502-nucleotide ribosomal RNA is filed under the name uncultured bacterium. Its description in RNAcentral is "partial 16S ribosomal RNA". It matches the Rfam family "Bacterial small subunit ribosomal RNA", at positions 29 to 523 of the family's 1533-position model. The record is from RNAcentral.